This 489-nucleotide long non-coding RNA is filed under the name Castor canadensis (American beaver). Its description in RNAcentral is "lncRNA (ENSCCNG00000025442.1)". Lineage: Eukaryota; Metazoa; Chordata; Mammalia; Rodentia; Castoridae. The record is from RNAcentral.
AUGGGGGCCACAGUGUCUGUGCUGGCUGCUGGAGCACAGGGGGCUUGGUGUGAGGGGAGCAUGUCCAGGACAGGCACCUGCCAGUCAGCCUCACCCCAUGAUGUGAGACUGGGCCCUGGAAGGCAAGGCCUGGACAGAGCCCAGCCCACUGGGGAGAAAAUGGUGCCCUGUGGAAAGGAGCAGGAAAAGCAGGUCAAAAGGUGGUACUGGAGUGGGAGCUCCUGUCUGCAGCUGGCCGUGCUCGUGGCUCUCUCUGGCUUUCUGCGUCAGUCUGGAUACUGCCUGAUGGAGCCACGGUGCCUUGCAGUUUAUGGCAGAGGUGAGCUGUCCCAGGCUCAUGGUUGUGUGCACCUGCCCAUCCCCUGGGCUCACCAAGCUGUGAGGGCACUCUGGGGACAGGAGUCCCUAAGGGAGCCUCCUUCUCUCUGCCCCUCCAUCACCUAUCUCCAGUGGGAUCCUAAUACACCCAGGCCACCUGCUAUGGACUAA